UAAUUAAUUAAAUCGGUCAUCUCCUUCGCGAAUUCUUACACAGUCGCUUAGCGCAGAACCUCUUCUGCUUUUCUUUCUCUCAAUUCGUAGCCGCGAUUCAUUUUCUCCCGCUUGAUCUCAGCUGCCGAUUGCGUGUUUGUUGAUUGGUGUCGGUGGAUCUUGGCAUCGGAUCUCUGUGCUUGUCAAUUUCAUAGGCUGAAUCGGUUAAAAUGCCUCUCAAAUUAGAAAUCAAGAGGAAACUUGCUCAACGAUCGGAAAGAGUAAAAUCUGUGGAUCUGCAUCCGACAGAGCCAUGGAUAUUGGCAAGUUUGUAUUCAGGGACUGUUGGCAUCUGGAACUAUCAGACUCAGACAAUGGUUAAAUCUUUUGAGGUUACAGAAUUGCCAGUUCGGUCAGCCAAGUUUAUAUCACGAAAGCAGUGGGUGGUUGCUGGUGCUGAUGACAUGUUCAUUCGUGUAUACAAUUACAAUACAAUGGAUAAAGUCAAAGUAUUUGAAGCCCAUACAGAUUAUAUUAGAUGUGUGGCAGUUCACCCCACUCUUCCAUAUGUGCUGUCAUCCUCUGAUGAUAUGUUAAUAAAGCUCUGGGAUUGGGAAAAGGGGUGGAUAUGUACUCAAAUCUUUGAGGGCCAUUCCCAUUAUGUGAUGCAAGUUACUUUUAAUCCCAAAGAUACGAACACUUUUGCCAGUGCAUCUCUUGAUCGCACUAUAAAGAUUUGGAAUCUUGGCUCCCCUGAUCCAAACUUUACACUGGAUGCUCACCUCAAAGGAGUCAAUUGUGUUGAUUAUUUCACUGGUGGAGACAAACCUUACUUAAUCACGGGUUCUGAUGAUCACACUGCUAAGGUUUGGGAUUAUCAGACAAAAAGUUGUGUCCAGACUCUAGAAGGCCACACACACAAUGUGUCUGCAGUCUGCUUCCAUCCCGAGCUUCCUAUCAUAAUAACUGGGUCAGAGGAUGGUACAGUCCGGAUUUGGCAUUCCACCACCUAUAGACUUGAAAAUACCUUAAAUUAUGGCCUUGAGAGAGUUUGGGCAGUUGGCUAUAUAAAAGGUUCAAGACGGGUUGUAAUUGGUUAUGAUGAGGGAACCAUCAUGGUGAAGCUUGGUCGCGAGGUACCUAUUGCUAGUAUGGAUAAUGGUGGGAAAAUUAUAUGGGCCAAGCAUAAUGAAAUUCAGACAGUUAACAUUAAAAGUGUUGGCGCAGAUUAUGAGGUUGCUGAUGGAGAGAGAUUGCCUUUGGCAGUUAAGGAAUUGGGAACUUGUGACCUUUACCCACAGAACUUAAAGCAUAAUCCAAAUGGAAGGUUUGUUGUGGUAUGUGGAGAUGGUGAGUACAUCAUAUAUACGGCUUUGGCAUGGAGAAACAGAUCAUUUGGUUCCGCAUUGGAAUUUGUUUGGUCAACGGAGGGAGAAUAUGCUGUUAGAGAAAGUACAUCAAAGAUUAAGAUCUUCAGCAAAAACUUUGUGGAGAAGAAAAGCAUCCGGCCCACAUUUUCUGCAGAGCACAUUUAUGGGGGAACUUUACUGGCAAUGUGUUCAAAUGAUUUCAUUUGCUUCUAUGAUUGGGCUGAAUGCCGAUUGAUCAGAAGAAUUGAUGUUAAUGUUAAAAAUCUAUACUGGGCUGACAGUGGUGAUUUGGUGGCCAUUGCCAGUGAUGCAUCAUUCUACAUACUGAAGUAUAAUCGUGAUGUGGUCUCGGCUCAUCUAGAUAGCGGGAGAUCGGUAGAUGAACAAGGUGUGGAAGAUGCUUUCGAACUUCUUUAUGAAAUUAAUGAACGAGUAAGAACGGGAAUAUGGGUUGGAGACUGUUUCAUUUAUAACAAUUCUUCCUGGAGACUCAAUUACUGUGUUGGUGGUGAGGUAACUACAAUGUUUCAUUUGGACCGACCUAUGUACCUGCUUGGUUAUCUAGCAAAUCAAAGUAGAGUUUAUCUCAUCGACAAAGAAUUCAAUGUUAUGGGAUAUACUUUGCUACUGGGUUUGAUCGAGUAUAAGACUCUCGUAAUGCGUGGUGAUUUGGAAAGGGCAAAUGAAGUCUUACCAUCUAUUCCAAAGGAGCACCUAAACAGUGUGGCUCAUUUCUUGGAAUCACGGGGUAUGAUAGAAGAGGCACUUGAAGUUGCUACAGAUCCUGACUACAGAUUUGAGCUAGCCGUACAGCUAGGCAAACUAGGGAUUGCAAAGGAAAUUGCUACAGCUGCGCAGAGUGAGUCUAAGUGGAAGCAAUUGGGUGAAUUGGCCAUGUCCACUGGAAUGUUAGAGAUGGCAGAAGAAUGCUUGAAGCAAGCAAAUGAUUUGAGUGGUUUAUUGCUGCUAUAUUCCUCUUUGGGCAAUGCUGAGGGAAUUGCUGAACUUGCAUCUAUUGCCAAAGAGCAUGGCAAAAACAAUGUUGCAUUCCUUUGUUUAUUUACAUUGGGUAAAUUGGAGGACUGUCUUCAGCUGCUGGUUGACAGCAAUCGGAUACCUGAAGCUGCGUUGAUGGCACGGUCAUACCUUCCAAGCAAGGUGUCAGAAAUCAUUGCUCUUUGGAGAAAGGAUCUCAAUAAGAUUAAUCAGAAAGCAGCAGAGUCUUUGGCUGAUCCUGAAGAGUAUCCUAAUCUUUUUGAAGAUUGGCAAGUUGCCCUUGCUGUAGAAGCCAAAGCUGCUGAAUCAAGGGGCGACUUUCCUCCCGCAGCUGCAUAUGUGCAAUAUGCUGAUAGAUCAACUGCAAGUCUUGUAGAAACUUAUAAAAACAUGCAAAUGGAUGAAGAGCCCCUGGAAAAUGGAGGCUUGGAUUAUGAGGAUACGCACCAAAAUGGGGAUGAAGCAGAUGACAUAGAGCAACACAGCGAGCAGGUAGAGGAGCGUGAUGAUAGCCAGGAAGAGGCUGUCGUGGUUGAUGCGGAUUCAACAGAUGGUGCUGUAUUUGUGAAUGGAAAUGAGGCCGAGGAAGAGUGGGGUACGAAUAAUGAAGGAAAACCAUCAGCGUAAAAGCAAUUGGUUGGGCCGUGUGAAAAUACCUAGUUUUGUUUACUGUGCUUACACCACCUCACUAAUUCCAUAGAAGACAGACGGUUCCAGCUGAGUACAACUUUUCUCAUGAUAGAUACACGCACACGGCAAUCGGGAAGGGAAGGGGGAAGGGGACCAGUGUUGUGAGUGAUAAGCAAAAAGGAUUUUGUAAUUCGGACGUCCUGUAGAAUUUGGAGUUUGAGCUGAGCCAUCAGUGAGUCAAGUCUUAGUUAAACCAUAAUUUUUGUUAAAACUUUUAAUUCUGACUUUCUUUCCCUUUCUCUAUGUUCUGUGAUUUAUAAUAUACGAUGAUGGUGAUGAUGAUGCAUAUAUAUAUAUUUCUAAUAGUGUUACAAUUAUUGUAUGAAUGUUGCAAUAUUAUUUUUUCUAAUAUUACAUUUUUUUAGCUGCUA
Molecule: RNA transcript, 3406 nt
Organism: Andrographis paniculata
Lineage: Eukaryota; Viridiplantae; Streptophyta; Magnoliopsida; Lamiales; Acanthaceae
Gene name: coatomer subunit beta'-1
Exons: 26
Source: RefSeq, a predicted model, not a curated record